GCCGCCGUAGCUCAGGGGUAGAGCACACCCUUGGUAAGGGUGGGGUCGGGUGUUCGAUUCACCCCGGCGGCACCA
This 75-nucleotide transfer RNA is filed under the name Rhodospirillum rubrum. RNAcentral's name for it is "tRNA-Thr". It matches the Rfam family "tRNA". From Rfam's summary of the family: Transfer RNA (tRNA) molecules are approximately 80 nucleotides in length. Their secondary structure includes four short double-helical elements and three loops (D, anti-codon, and T loops). Lineage: Bacteria; Pseudomonadati; Pseudomonadota; Alphaproteobacteria; Rhodospirillales; Rhodospirillaceae. RNAcentral also lists the same sequence under 3 other names. The record is from RNAcentral.